Molecule: long non-coding RNA, 1388 nt
Filed under: Falco tinnunculus (common kestrel)
Lineage: Eukaryota; Metazoa; Chordata; Aves; Falconiformes; Falconidae
Description: lncRNA (ENSFTIG00000011472.1)
Source: RNAcentral
AUGAACACAGGCGCUCCUGGCCAAAAAAGUAAAUUAGUGGAAAGUUUUCUCCUCCUCUCCCUCUUUCGCCUUCCACUUCGCCCUCCGCCAGCCCGGGCGGGGCGUUGCAGAUAUCUGUGUCAGGUUGCGCUGCCGUGCGAGGCGGGCAGCCGGGCUGCGGGGCGGCGGGGCCGUGCCCGGAGCGGCGGAGGGCGGCCAGCCCCCCGCACCCCCGGCGGCCCCCAACCCCCGGCGGAGGGACCAGAUUUUUCCAUCACAGGAAAACACUUAUGUAAAAACCAAAGAGGAUGGGCGCUCCCGCACGCUGGCCCUGCCCAGGCGGGCAGCAACGAGCACCUGCGGACGCCGAUUCCGUCCCGGCAGCAUCCCGGCAGCAUCCCGGCAGCCCUCGGCUAUCCGCGGCCACGCACCCUCCGCGGGGCUCCGCUCCGCGCCCCGCCGAAACCUCCCCGGAAAGCCCUGACCGCGGGCACCGCCGCCGCUCCCGAGCCCGGGGAGGUCGCUGGUUUCUGCCGCUGACAGCCUGAUUUACAGCAAAUGCUUUCCCAACACCCUCACAAGCCGCAACAAAACACCGAGGUGUGCCGGCUGGCUGCUCCUUCUCAUCCUCUUCUCGGACUGAGGAACGCUUUCGGGAGAAAGUUUAGGUGCAAAGCAAACCGCUUCUCUACCUGCAAGUUAUUUUACGUUCAACGACGCUUGCUGCCACAGUUUAAAAGCCCGGCUCCUUAGCCAAAUUUCAUACCACACAGGCAAAUAAAACCGAAAACGUAAGAGCUGAAAUAGAAAUCAUGCUGAAAACAUUAAAUCGUUGACGCUGUAAAUAAAUUCCCUGAACACCUGGUAGGCUAUAAAUUAAAAUGUAUAGCUAAUAGGCUUCUUUGAUUUACACUGCCCUUUCGACUAAUUAAAAAUAAUUGUGAGAUCCCCUGAAAAGAGCCCCCCCACACUCAUAGGUCCAUUGCACGUGUUAAAGGUAAAACGUCCAUCAAACAUUUUUAGAAUUUCCUCCCCUCUAAAAAAAAAAAAUAAAAAAAAUAAAAAAAAAAAGAAAAAACACCCCAACCCUUACAGACUCAGGAAAAAUAGAUAGCCUUUAUAAACUUGGAAUACUGAAGUUUCUUCACAAUUUAUUACUUCACCUUUUCCUCGAGUUACAGCCCUCUGUGCCUCUCAGAGAUCACCCUGGCAAAACAGUGGUUGAUCUUCUCAGCAAUCUCUUCCAAAACUAUAUUUUAUGCUUAAGAAAAAGAAAAAAAAAGAAGUUAAAUAAAUGAAAAAAAAGGUAAUACUUUUCAAAAGAAAUACAGCUCUACAGAGUUUUUAAUCUGUCUGCAACAGAUUAGUGCUAAAUAAAGGUGUUAAAAGCAGGUGUUUUUCUCCCUUGC